AGCAGCAUGGCGCAGAUGGAAGCGCGCGGGGCCCAUAGGCGAGACGUUUACGUAAGCUCAAACCCCGAGGUCACUCGAUCGAAACGAGUUGCUGCUA
Non-coding RNA from Mycena capillaripes, 97 nucleotides. The record is from the annotation of a GenBank genome assembly. NCBI's taxonomy places the organism in Eukaryota, Fungi, Basidiomycota, Agaricomycetes, Agaricales, Mycenaceae.